Molecule: ribosomal RNA, 389 nt
Filed under: uncultured bacterium
Lineage: Bacteria
Description: bacterial SSU rRNA
Rfam family: Bacterial small subunit ribosomal RNA
Source: RNAcentral
GACGAACGCUGGCGGCGUGCUUAACACAUGCAAGUGGAGCGACGAACCAGGCUUCGGCCUGGGGCAGAGCCGCGAACGGGUGAGUAACACGUGGGUAACCUGCCUCGAUGACCGGGACAACCCGGGGAAACCCGGGCUAAUACCGGAUGUGCUGCCUUCACAUCAGUGGAGACAGGAAAGGAAGCUUCGGCCUCCGCAUCGAGAUGGGGCCCCGCGGCCCAUUAGCUUGUUGGUGAGGUAAUGGCUCACCAAGGCCGCGAUGGGUAGCUGGUCUGAGAGGACGAUCAGCCACACUGGGACUGAGACACGGCCCAGACUCCUACGGGAGGCAGCAGUGGGAAUCUUGCGCAAUGCGCGAAAGCGUGACGCAGCAACGCCGCGUGGGGGAA